Limulus polyphemus (Atlantic horseshoe crab) is the source of this 907-nucleotide RNA transcript. It is a transcript of the gene named E3 ubiquitin-protein ligase Siah1-like, with no coding region annotated. The transcript is spliced from 5 exons. The record is from RefSeq and is a predicted model, not a curated record. NCBI's taxonomy places the organism in Eukaryota, Metazoa, Arthropoda, Merostomata, Xiphosura, Limulidae.
AUACGGAUUUAGGUGUCAAAAAGAAUUCUAUACCAUGAGAUGGCGCAUUGAUUUUUUUACCUUUUGUGAGAUUUAGGAAAAAUGUACGAAUGAUAUACUUAAAGGUCAAAGCACUGAGCGUACUUGUACUUUGUUUUUUUAACCAAGCAUGAACCAUCCAGGUUUGAGUGGCAGUAAGGUGAAGACACAUUUCACAACUGUUAUGACAGCGCCAUCAUCAGCAUCAGACCUUGUCAGCCUGUUUGAAUGUCCUGUCUGUUUUGAGUUUGUUCUGCCUCCUAUUCUUCAGUGUCAAAAUGGACAUCUUGUGUGCUCAACUUGUCGCCAGAAAAUCACCUGCUGCCCAACGUGUAGGGCACCAAUUGGUAACAUCAGGAAUCUUGCUAUGGAAAAGGUGGCCAGUAACAUCUUUUAUGGUGAUUACAGGUAACAUCAGGAAUCUUGCUAUGGAAAAGGUGGCCAGUAACAUCUUUUAUGGUGAUUACAGGUAACAUCAGGAACCUUGCUAUGGAAAAGGUGGCCAGUAACAUCUUUUAUGGUGAUUACAGGUAACAUCAGGAAUCUUGCUAUGGAAAAGGUGGCCAGCACAGUAAUGUUUCCUUGCAAAUAUUCAGCUUCAGGCUGCAAUGCUCAGCUGUUACACACAGAUAAACAGGAUCAUGAAGAAAUAUGUGAAUUCAGGUAAGUUUUGUUCAUUUAAAAUGUUUUUUACAAGACCUAAAGCUGUGGUUCUCAAACUUUUUGUUGUCAUAAACCUGAAUUUUAUUUUAGUUAAUCUCUGUGGACUGCAGUCAAAUGUGUUGCAUCCUUGUGCUGUUGCUUCCUUUCUGUAAUUAUACCACCUUUCCAUGUAUUGCAGAUUGAGAACCGGUUACCUAGAGUGCAUAUUUUAUUUUCCGAAGAUAUA